GAUGAACGCUGGCGGCGUGCUUAACACAUGCAAGUCGAACGAUGAAGCCCAGCUUGCUGGGUGGAUUAGUGGCGAACGGGUGAGUAACACGUGAGUAACCUGCCCUUAACUCUGGGAUAAGCCUGGGAAACUGGGUCUAAUACCGGUUAGGAGCGUCCACCGCAUGGUGGGUGUUGGAAAGAUUUAUCGGUUUUGGAUGGACUCGCGGCCUAUCAGCUUGUUGGUGAGGUAAUGGCUCACCAAGGCGACGACGGGUAGCCGGCCUGAGAGGGUGACCGGCCACACUGGGACUGAGACACGGCCCAGACUCCUACGGGAGGCAGCAGUGGGGAAUAUUGCACAAUGGGCGAAAGCCUGAUGCAGCGACGCCGCGUGAGGGAUGACGGCCUUCGGGUUGUAAACCUCUUUCAGUAGGGAAGAAGCGAAAGUGACGGUACCUGCAGAAGAAGCACCGGCUAACUACGUG
Molecule: ribosomal RNA, 466 nt
Filed under: uncultured bacterium
Lineage: Bacteria
Description: partial 16S ribosomal RNA
Rfam family: Bacterial small subunit ribosomal RNA
Source: RNAcentral